UACGUAGGGGGCAAGCGUUGUCCGGAAUCAUUGGGCGUAAAGCGCGUGUAGGCGGCUCGGUAAGUCUGCUGUGAAAGUCCAGGGCUCAACCCUGGGAUGCCGGUGGAUACUGUCGAGCUCGAGUCCGGAAGAGGCGAGUGGAAUUCCUGGUGUAGCGGUGAAAUGCGCAGAUAUCAGGAGGAACACCAAUGGCGAAGGCGGGUAGCUGGGCCAACACUGACGCUGAUGCGCGAAAGCUAGGGGAGCAAACGGG
RNAcentral lists this ribosomal RNA (253 nucleotides) under uncultured bacterium. Its description in RNAcentral is "partial 16S ribosomal RNA". It matches the Rfam family "Bacterial small subunit ribosomal RNA", at positions 524 to 776 of the family's 1533-position model. The record is from RNAcentral.